Molecule: ribosomal RNA, 371 nt
Filed under: uncultured bacterium
Lineage: Bacteria
Description: bacterial SSU rRNA
Rfam family: Bacterial small subunit ribosomal RNA
Source: RNAcentral
AGAGGGUGCAAGCGUUAAUCGGAAUUACUGGGCGUAAAGGGCGCGUAGGUGGUUAUAUGAGUGAGAUGUGAAAGCCCCGGGCUUAACCUGGGAAUUGCAUCUUAUACUGUAUGACUGGAGUGCAAUAGAGGGUAGUGGAAUUUCCGGUGUAGCGGUGAAAUGCGUAGAUAUCGGAAGGAACACCAGUGGCGAAGGCGGCUACCUGGAUUGACACUGACACUGAGGCGCGAGAGCGUGGGGAGCAAACAGGAUUAGAUACCCUGGUAGUCCACGCCGUAAACGAUGAAAACUAGAUGUUGGUAGGCAUAGACCUAUCAGUAUCGAAGCUAACGCGAUAAGUUUUCCGCCUGGGGAGUACGGUCGCAAGAUUA